GAACUUUCCAGAGAUGGAUUGGUGCCUUCGGGAACUCUGAGACAGGUGCUGCAUGGCUGUCGUCAGCUCGUGUUGUGAAAUGUUGGGUUAAGUCCCGCAACGAGCGCAACCCUUAUCCUUUGUUGCCAGCGGUCCGGCCGGGAACUCAAAGGAGACUGCCAGUGAUAAACUGGAGGAAGGUGGGGAUGACGUCAAGUCAUCAUGGCCCUUACGAGUAGGGCUACACACGUGCUACAAUGGCGCAUACAAAGAGAAGCGACCUCGCGAGAGCAAGCGGACCUCAUAAAGUGCGUCGUAGUCCGGAUUGGAGUCUGCAACUCGACUCCAUGAAGUCGGAAUCGCUAGUAAUCGUGGAUCAGAAUGCCACGGUGAAUACGUUCCCGGGCCUUGUACACACCGCCCGUCACACCAUGGGAGUGGGUUGCAAAAGAAGUAGGUAGCUUAACCUUCGGGAGGGCGCUUACCACUUUGUGAUUCAUGACUGGGGUGAAGUCGUAACAAGGUAGGCGUAGUGCU
RNAcentral lists this ribosomal RNA (516 nucleotides) under uncultured bacterium. Its description in RNAcentral is "bacterial SSU rRNA". It matches the Rfam family "Bacterial small subunit ribosomal RNA", at positions 993 to 1509 of the family's 1533-position model. The record is from RNAcentral.